GACGAACGCUGGCGGCGUGCUUAACACAUGCAAGUCGAACGGAAAGGCCCUGCUUUUGUGGGGUGCUCGAGUGGCGAACGGGUGAGUAACACGUGAGUAACCUGCCCUUGACUUUGGGAUAACUUCAGGAAACUGGGGCUAAUACCGGAUAGGAGCUCCUGCUGCAUGGUGGGGGUUGGAAAGUUUCGGCGGUUGGGGAUGGACUCGCGGCUUAUCAGCUUGUUGGUGGGGUAGUGGCUUACCAAGGCUUUGACGGGUAGCCGGCCUGGGAGGGUGACCGGCCACAUUGGGACUGCGAUACGGCCCAGACUCCUACGGGAGGCAGCAGUGGGGAAUAUUGCACAAUGGGCGGAAGCCUGAUGCAGCAACGCCGCGUGCGGGAUGACGGCCUUCUGGUUGUAAACCGCUUUCGCCUGUGACGAAGCGUGAGUGACGGUAAUGGGUAAAGAAGCACCGGCUAACUACGUG
RNAcentral lists this ribosomal RNA (468 nucleotides) under uncultured bacterium. RNAcentral's name for it is "partial 16S ribosomal RNA". It matches the Rfam family "Bacterial small subunit ribosomal RNA", at positions 28 to 507 of the family's 1533-position model. The record is from RNAcentral.